RNAcentral lists this ribosomal RNA (585 nucleotides) under uncultured bacterium. RNAcentral's name for it is "bacterial SSU rRNA". It matches the Rfam family "Bacterial small subunit ribosomal RNA", at positions 338 to 916 of the family's 1533-position model. The record is from RNAcentral.
CCUACGGGAGGCAGCAGUGGGGAAUUUUGGACAAUGGGCGCAAGCCUGAUCCAGCAAUGCCGCGUGAGUGGAGAAGGCCUUCGGGUUGUAAAGCUCUUUUGUCAGGGAAGAAACGGUGGGAGCUAAUAUCUCCCGCUAAUGACGGUACCUGAAGAAUAAGCACCGGCUAACUACGUGCCAGCAGCCGCGGUAAUACGUAGGGUGCAAGCGUUAAUCGGAAUUACUGGGCGUAAAGCGUGCGCAGGCGGUUUUGUAAGUCUGUCGUGAAAGCCCCGGGCUCAACCUGGGAAUUGCGAUGGAGACUGCAAGGCUUGAAUCUGGCAGAGGGGGGUAGAAUUCCACGUGUAGCAGUGAAAUGCGUAGAGAUGUGGAGGAACACCGAUGGCGAAGGCAGCCCCCUGGGUCAAGAUUGACGCUCAUGCACGAAAGCGUGGGGAGCGAACAGGAUUAGAUACCCUGGUAGUCCACGCCCUAAACGAUGUCUACUAGUUGUCGGGUUUUAAUUAACUUGGUAACGCAGCUAACGCGUGAAGUAGACCGCCUGGGGAGUACGGUCGCAAGAUUAAAACUCAAAGGAAUUGACGG